This 421-nucleotide ribosomal RNA is filed under the name uncultured bacterium. RNAcentral describes it as "bacterial SSU rRNA". It matches the Rfam family "Bacterial small subunit ribosomal RNA", at positions 355 to 774 of the family's 1533-position model. The record is from RNAcentral.
UAAGGAUUAUUGGUCAAUGGACGCAAGUCUGAACCAGCCAUGCCGCGUGAAGGAUGAAGGUCCUCUGGAUUGUAAACUUCUUUUAUCUGGGACGAAAACGGGAUUUUUAUCUCAAUUGACGGUACCAGAGGAAUAAGCACCGGCUAACUCCGUGCCAGCAGCCGCGGUAAUACGGAGGGUGCGAGCGUUAUCCGGAUUUACUGGGUUUAAAGGGUGCGUAGGUGGGCUUAUAAGUCAGUGGUGAAAUCUCCGAGCUUAACUUGGAAACUGCCGUUGAUACUAUAGGUCUUGAAUUAUCUGGAGGUAAGCGGAAUAUGUCAUGUAGCGGUGAAAUGCUUAGAUAUGACAUAGAACACCAAUUGCGAAGGCAGCUUACUACAUAUAAAUUGACGCUGAGGCACGAAAGCGUGGGGAUCAAACA